GAUGAAGAACGCAGCGAAAUGCGAUAAGUAAUGCGAAUUGCAGAAUUCAGUGAAUCAUCGAAUCUUUGAACGCACAUUGCGCCCGCCAGUAUUCUGGCGGGCAUGCCUGUCUGAGCGUCGUUUCGACCCUCGCGCCCGGCUUCUGUCGGGGGCGGUGUUGGGGAUCGGCCACACCCUUCAGUGGGAGGCCGGCCCCUAAAUUCAGUGGCGCCCACGCUGUAGCCUCCCCUGCGUAGUACUAAAACCACCUCGCAGGCGGAGAGCGGUGCGGCCCGCCGUAAAACCCCCCAACUUUUACAAGGUCGACCUCAGAUCAGGUAGGAAUACCCGCUGAACUUAAGCAUAUCAAUAAGCGGAGGA
RNAcentral lists this unclassified non-coding RNA (360 nucleotides) under soil metagenome. RNAcentral describes it as "partial contains 5.8S ribosomal RNA, internal transcribed spacer 2, and large subunit ribosomal RNA". The stretch from base 1 to 120 matches the Rfam family "5.8S ribosomal RNA", at positions 35 to 154 of the family's 154-position model. The record is from RNAcentral.